AAACCAACAGGGAUUGCCUUAGUAGCGGCGAGUGARGCGGCAAGAGCUCAAAUUUGAAAUCUGGUACCUUCGGUGCCCGAGUUGUAAUUUGAAGAAAGCUAUCUUGGAUUUGGCCUUUGUCUAUGUUCCUUGGAACAGGACGUCACAGAGGGUGAGAAUCCCGUGCGAUGAGGUGUCCAUUUCUAUGUAAGAUGUUUUCGAAGAGUCGAGUUGUUUGGGAAUGCAGCUCUAAGUGGGUGGUAAAUUCCAUCUAAAGCUAAAUAUUGGCGAGAGACCGAUAGCGAACAAGUACAGUGAUGGAAAGAUGAAAAGAACUUUGAAAAGAGAGUGAAAAAGUACGUGAAAUUGUUGAAAGGGAAGGGUAUUAGAUCAGACUUGGUAUUUAGUUAUCAUUACUCCUUGUGGGUGGUGCUCUAGCUUUUUACUGGGCCAGCAUCAGUUUUGGUGACAGGAUAAUAGCAAUUGAAUGUGGCUCUUCGGAGUGUUAUAGCUUUUGUUGAUACUGUCUACUGGGACUGAGGUCUGCGGCUUUGCCUAGGAUGCUGGCGUAAUGAUCCAAUACCGC
RNAcentral lists this ribosomal RNA (565 nucleotides) under Ogataea sonorensis. RNAcentral's name for it is "eukaryotic LSU rRNA". It matches the Rfam family "Eukaryotic large subunit ribosomal RNA", at positions 62 to 648 of the family's 3401-position model. Lineage: Eukaryota; Fungi; Ascomycota; Pichiomycetes; Pichiales; Pichiaceae. The record is from RNAcentral.